UUACGGUCAUAUCACGCUGAAACUACCGGAUCCCGUACGAUCACCGGAGAUAAGCAACGUCGAUCAUGGUCAGUAGCUAGAUGGGUGACUACUUGAGAAAAA
Acanthosepion pharaonis is the source of this 102-nucleotide non-coding RNA. The record is from the annotation of a GenBank genome assembly. Lineage: Eukaryota; Metazoa; Mollusca; Cephalopoda; Sepiida; Sepiidae.